This 1070-nucleotide long non-coding RNA is filed under the name Gossypium barbadense (sea-island cotton). Its description in RNAcentral is "long non-coding RNA (GBAR_LNC017886)". The record is from RNAcentral. Lineage: Eukaryota; Viridiplantae; Streptophyta; Magnoliopsida; Malvales; Malvaceae.
CCCAAUAAAUUAAAACCCUAACCAAAAACCUAAUUCGGCCCAACCUAGCCCAAAACAUUCCCCAAACCCCGAAACCCUAGCCUUCAGCAACCAGCAACACCGCCGUCGAACCCAGGGCCUCUUCCGCGUGUGCGUCUCCUCCAGCUGGCCUCCGUACACGCCACGUCCACCCUCCGUACGUCGUACCUGCAAGAGGGACAAGUAAACAAAAAAGAAGCAAAAAUCGAGCAAAAAAGAAAAAAAUUACAAAAAGAGCAAAAUACGUUUUUCCUUUGUAAUUUUCAUUUUAGUUUUGGCUAUAUAAAGCCAUUUUUUAGCGUUUUGUAAGGGUUUUUUUUUACGCAAGAUCAAUACACAGAAAAUCAAUACAAGAGAUACAAGAAAUUUUCAAAAAAGAAUACAUCGUUCUAGGUGAUUCUCCGGCUUCAUUUUCUCUUUUGGGUUUUCUUAGUUUUUAUUUAUUUAUUUAUUUAUUUUAUAUGCAAGAAAUAUAAAGAAUAAAAGGGGAAGAAAGGAGAAAGUUACCUUUGUUAUUGCGCCGUUAACCCUCGUCCGCUCUGUUGAAAUCAAAGUUCGAAAAGGGGUUGCCUCUGAGAUGCAAACGGCUGAAAUCAGCGCUAGAGGGGUAGCCUUCGGGACUGAUUUCAGCCAGUUUGCAAACUGAAAUAGGGUUCUGAUUUUAGGGUUAUAAAAGGUUCAUAUAUAGUACAUAAAACGGCACCGUUUAGGGCCUACUUCACUGGCUCCAAAACAGUGCCGUGUUGAUCAUUGCCCAGCAGCCCGCGUGCGACCCGACCCGAUCCAUGGGGGAUCCGCGCGUUAUUUGUUAAAUGGCUUAUUUGCGCCACUGGUCCCUCGUUUUUUAUAGCGCAUCAAAAUCGAGUGUUUUUUUUUAUUUAGAUUCUGCUGGAUAUUUUAUUUUUGUGUCGUUUCAGUCCGUUUGUAGCACUGCGUUUUGGGGAAGCGAGAUAUUUCCCACUCGGCCCCCCAUGUAAUUCAUGCAUUGCAGUAUAGUCCUCAACUUUAUUUUAAUUCUAUUAUUUUCUUGUUAAUCUAGGUCUAAUUGCGAU